UUAUUAACUUUAUGGAAAACAAUAUUCACACAAACAACACCGCUUAGAGCAGCUUGGAGAUUAUUAGCCAUGUAAACGGGGAGCAAAAGAGCGGAUUUAACCAACUCUGUACAAACCGGCGCUCCAGGGACAAGACUGCCCGGAGACAGACCCAGCAGAAUCUGGAACGCUAGAGGGAAAAAGUCACACACCCCCGGUUUCGGCGAUUCGUCACAACAAGCGCCAAAAAAGCCGAGACUCCGCACCGGCGAAAACGGCACAGACGACCACAUAAAUCUAGAGCUGGGGGAUUCCGGCGCCC
Molecule: long non-coding RNA, 301 nt
Organism: Oncorhynchus nerka (sockeye salmon)
Lineage: Eukaryota; Metazoa; Chordata; Actinopteri; Salmoniformes; Salmonidae
Exons: 3
Source: RefSeq, a predicted model, not a curated record